This 30-nucleotide non-coding RNA is filed under the name Mus musculus (house mouse). Lineage: Eukaryota; Metazoa; Chordata; Mammalia; Rodentia; Muridae. The record is from RNAcentral.
UAAAAUUGAUACGUUUUAUAUUUCCUUUGC